CUUUACUGUAGCUUGGAAUUGGGUUCGGGCUUUGCUUGCGCAGGAUAGGUGGGAGACUAUGAAGUUGCUCUUGUGGGAGUAAUGGAGUCAACGGUGAGAUACCACUCUGGUGAGGCUAGAAUUCUAACUUGUUCCCGUCAUCCGGAAGAAGGACAAUUUCAGGUGGGCAGUUUGACUGGGGCGGUCGCCUCCUAAAAGGUAACGGAGGCGCGCAAAGGUUUCCUCAGGCUGGUUGGAAAUCAGCCGAAGAGUGUAAAAGCACAAGAGAGCUUGACUGUGAGACUAACACGUCGAACAGGGACGAAAGUCGGCCUUAGUGAUCCGACGGUAUGCGCGUGGAAGUGCCGUCGCUCAACGGAUAAAAGUUA
This 368-nucleotide ribosomal RNA is filed under the name uncultured organism. RNAcentral describes it as "bacterial LSU rRNA". It matches the Rfam family "Bacterial large subunit ribosomal RNA", at positions 2099 to 2465 of the family's 2925-position model. The record is from RNAcentral.